GCCGGGCGCGGUGGCGCCUGCCUGUGGUCCCAGCUACUGGGGAGGCUGAGGCGGGAGGAUCGCCUGAGCCCAGGGGUUCUGGGCUGUAGUGCGUUAUGCCGAUCGGGUGUCCGCAGUAAGUUCAGCAUCAAUAUGGUGACCUCCCGGGAGCAGGGGACCACCAGGUUGCCUAAGGAGGGGCGAACAGGCCCAGGUCGGAAACGGAGCAGGUCAAAACUCCCGUGCUGAUCAGUAGUGGGAUCGCACCUGUGAAUAGCCACUGCACUGCAGCCUGGGCAACGUAGCGAGACCCCGUCUCU
RNAcentral lists this signal recognition particle RNA (299 nucleotides) under Cebus imitator (Panamanian white-faced capuchin). Its description in RNAcentral is "Metazoan signal recognition particle RNA (ENSCCAG00000008658.1)". It matches the Rfam family "Metazoan signal recognition particle RNA". From Rfam's summary of the family: The signal recognition particle (SRP) is a universally conserved ribonucleoprotein. The record is from RNAcentral. Lineage: Eukaryota; Metazoa; Chordata; Mammalia; Primates; Cebidae.